CUGGACCAGAUCAGCUCUGGAAGGAGCAGCAAGAAGUGGCUACCUAAGUGU
Molecule: non-coding RNA, 51 nt
Filed under: Heterosigma akashiwo
Lineage: Eukaryota; Raphidophyceae; Chattonellales; Chattonellaceae
Source: RNAcentral